UAUGUCUUGGGAAAUUAUGAGCUAUAUACUUAAUUUGGGCACUUUGUAUAUAGGGAGUUAUUAGUGCAACCGGCCGAAUAUUUA
This 84-nucleotide non-coding RNA is filed under the name Clostridium carboxidivorans. Its description in RNAcentral is "c-di-GMP-II sequence". It matches the Rfam family "Cyclic di-GMP-II riboswitch aptamer". Lineage: Bacteria; Bacillati; Bacillota; Clostridia; Eubacteriales; Clostridiaceae. The record is from RNAcentral. RNAcentral also lists the same sequence under 1 other name.